This 395-nucleotide ribosomal RNA is filed under the name uncultured bacterium. RNAcentral's name for it is "bacterial SSU rRNA". It matches the Rfam family "Bacterial small subunit ribosomal RNA", at positions 28 to 423 of the family's 1533-position model. The record is from RNAcentral.
GACGAACGCUGGCGGUGUGCUUCACACAUGCAAGUCGAACGGCAGCACGGGUGCUUGCACCUGGUGGCGAGUGGCGAACGGGUGAGUAAUGCACCGGAACGUAUCCAAUAAUGGGGGAUAACGCACCGAAAGGUGUGCUAAUACCGCAUACGCCUUGAGGGGGAAAGCGGGGGAUCGUAAGACCUCGCGUUAAUGGAGCGGCCGAUGCCGGAUUAGCUAGUUGGUGAGGUAAAGGCUCACCAAGGCGACGAUCCGUAGCUGGUCUGAGAGGACGACCAGCCACACUGGAACUGAGACACGGUCCAGACUCCUACGGGAGGCAGCAGUGGGGAAUUUUGGACAAUGGGCGCAAGCCUGAUCCAGCCAUUCCGCGUGAGUGAAGAAGGCCUUCGGUU